This 51-nucleotide ribosomal RNA is filed under the name Bifidobacterium adolescentis. RNAcentral describes it as "partial 23S ribosomal RNA". Lineage: Bacteria; Bacillati; Actinomycetota; Actinomycetes; Bifidobacteriales; Bifidobacteriaceae. The record is from RNAcentral.
GGAAGCCCCGUGAGGGGUGGAGCCGACCGGUACUAACGGGCGACGGCGACA